UUGAAGAGUUUGAUCAUGGCUCAGAUUGAACGCUGGCGGCAGGCUUAACACAUGCAAGUCGAGCGGAAACGAUUCUAGCUUGCUAGAAGGCGUCGAGCGGCGGACGGGUGAGUAAUGCAUGGGAAUCUGCCCGAUAGUGGGGGACAACCUGGGGAAACUCAGGCUAAUACCGCAUACGUCCUACGGGAGAAAGCAGGGGAUCUUCGGACCUUGCGCUAUCGGAUGAGCCCAUGUCGGAUUAGCUUGUUGGUGAGGUAACGGCUCACCAAGGCGACGAUCCGUAGCUGGUCUGAGAGGAUGAUCAGCCACACUGGGACUGAGACACGGCCCAGACUCCUACGGGAGGCAGCAGUGGGGAAUAUUGGACAAUGGGCGAAAGCCUGAUCCAGCAACGCCGCGUGAGGGAUGACUGCCUUCGGGUUGUAAACCUCUUUCAGCAGGGAAGAAGCGAAAGUGACGGUACCUGCAGAAGAAGCACCGGCUAACUACGUGCCAGCAGCCGCGGUAAUACGUAGGGUGCGAGCGUUGUCCGGAAUUAUUGGGCGUAAAGGGCUCGUAGGCGGUUUGUCGCGUCGGGAGUGAAAACUCAGGGCUUAACUCUGAGCUUGCUUCCGAUACGGGCAGACUAGAGGUAUGCAGGGGAGAACGGAAUUCCUGGUGUAGCGGUGAAAUGCGCAGAUAUCAGGAGGAACACCGAUGGCGAAGGCAGGUCUCUGGGCCACUACUGACGCUGAGAAGCGAAAGCAUGGG
Molecule: ribosomal RNA, 750 nt
Filed under: Paraphysomonas bandaiensis
Lineage: Eukaryota; Chrysophyceae; Chromulinales; Paraphysomonadaceae
Description: partial Bacterial small subunit ribosomal RNA
Rfam family: Bacterial small subunit ribosomal RNA
Source: RNAcentral